GAUGAAGAACGUAGUGAAAUGCGAUAAGUAAUGUGAAUUGCAGAAUUCAGUGAAUCAUCGAAUCUUUGAACGCACAUUGCGCCCGCCAGUAUUCUGGCGGGCAUGCCUGUUCGAGCGUCAUUUCAACCCUCAGGCCCCGCCUGGCGUUGGGGAUCGGCGCGGCCCUCUCCGGGCUGCCGACCCCGAAAACUAGUGGCGGUCUCGCUGUAGUCCUCCUCUGCGCAGUAGCAACGCUCGCACUGGAACUCGGCGCGGCCACGCCGUAAAACACCCCACUUCUGAAAGUUGACCUCGGAUCAGGUAGGAAUACCCGCUGAACUUAAGCAUAUCAAUAAGCGGAGGA
RNAcentral lists this unclassified non-coding RNA (343 nucleotides) under soil metagenome. RNAcentral's name for it is "partial contains 5.8S ribosomal RNA, internal transcribed spacer 2, and large subunit ribosomal RNA". The stretch from base 1 to 120 matches the Rfam family "5.8S ribosomal RNA", at positions 35 to 154 of the family's 154-position model. The record is from RNAcentral.